AUGUGGCAGUGCCGGAAUUUUGAAUCCAGGAAGUCUAGUUCCAGAAUCUGUGCAACAGGUNAACUUAAGAAGUAUGGAGUCACCACAAUCGUAAGAGUAUGUGAAGCAACUUAUGACACUACUCUUGUGGAGAAAGAAGGCAUCCAUGUUCUUGAUUGGCCUUUUGAUGAUGGCGCACCACCAUCUAACCAGAUUGUUGAUGAUUGGUUAAGUCUUGUGAAGAUUAAGUUUCGUGAAGACCCUGGUUGUUGUAUUGCUGUUCAUUGUGUUGCAGGCCUUGGCAGAGCUCCAGUGCUUGUUGCCCUAGCAUUAAUUGAAGGUGGAAUGAAAUAUGAAGAUGCAGUACAGUUCAUAAGACAAAAGCGGCGAGGAGCUUUUAACAGCAAGCAACUUUUGUAUUUGGAGAAGUAUCGUCCUAAAAUGCGGCUGCGCUUCAAAGACUCCAAUGGGCAUAGAAACAACUGUUGCAUUCAGUAAAACUAGGGUGCAUGAUGCCAUUGCUUGGAAGUGGAACCUGAGACACAAUGGAAUUUGUCGUACAUAGCAGAUAGCCCAGUUGACUUGGUGAAUAAGUCUGAUGAAGCUUCCAUAGGAGUGUUGAAAAGCAGUUUUACCAGGCCAUAGGCCUGGCAGAAUUGCAGUCUCUGUUCAGGUUAUGAUCAACCUAUUUGAAUACUAGUAAAGAAUUCUUGCUGUUCAGCAUUAAUAUGUGCUUAUAAUUUGUACCAAUUGACCUUUCCUGAAAUCAUGCAGUAUUGAGUCAUGUCAUUAAAUCUGUUUCCAUGCCAGAAUCUUACCAAUAC
Odocoileus virginianus texanus is the source of this 803-nucleotide non-coding RNA. NCBI's taxonomy places the organism in Eukaryota, Metazoa, Chordata, Mammalia, Artiodactyla, Cervidae. The record is from RefSeq and is a predicted model, not a curated record.